Acanthosepion pharaonis is the source of this 109-nucleotide non-coding RNA. The record is from the annotation of a GenBank genome assembly. Lineage: Eukaryota; Metazoa; Mollusca; Cephalopoda; Sepiida; Sepiidae.
GCCAUAUCACGUUGAAACACCGGUUCCCGUAUGAUCAGUGAAGUUAAGAAACGUCGAGUCUCAUCAGUACCUACAUGGGUGGCCUCUUGGGAAUACCAAGUGAUGUAAG